This 441-nucleotide ribosomal RNA is filed under the name uncultured bacterium. Its description in RNAcentral is "partial 16S ribosomal RNA". It matches the Rfam family "Bacterial small subunit ribosomal RNA", at positions 338 to 795 of the family's 1533-position model. The record is from RNAcentral.
CCUACGGGUGGCAGCAGUGGGGAAUAUUGCACAAUGGUCGAAAGCCUGAUGCAGCAACGCCGCGUGAAGGAAGACGGUUUUCGGAUUGUAAACUUCUGUUCUUAGUGAAGAAUAAUGACGGUAACUAAGGAGCAAGCCACGGCUAACUACGUACCAGCAGCCGCGGUAAUACGUAGGUGGCAAGCGUUGUCCGGAAUUACUGGGUGUAAAGGGAGCGUAGACGGUGCGCCAAGUCUGGAGGGAAAUGCCGCAGCUUAACUGCGGAACUGCUUUGGAAACUGGCGAACUAGAGUGCGGGAGGGGUAAGCGGAAUGCCUAGUGUAGCGGUGAAAUGCGUAGAUAUUAGGAGGAACACCGGUGGCGAAGGCGGCUUACUGGACCGUAACUGACGUUGAGGCUCGAAAGCGUGGGGAGCAAACAGGAUUAGAUACCCCGGUAGUC